Molecule: ribosomal RNA, 1054 nt
Filed under: Salmonella enterica
Lineage: Bacteria; Pseudomonadati; Pseudomonadota; Gammaproteobacteria; Enterobacterales; Enterobacteriaceae
Description: partial 23S ribosomal RNA
Rfam family: Bacterial large subunit ribosomal RNA
Source: RNAcentral
AUGCUGUGAGCUCGAUGAGUAGGGCGGGACACGUGGUAUCCUGUCUGAAUAUGGGGGGACCAUCCUCCAAGGCUAAAUACUCCUGACUGACCGAUAGUGAACCAGUACCGUGAGGGAAAGGCGAAAAGAACCCCGGCGAGGGGAGUGAAACAGAACCUGAAACCGUGUACGUACAAGCAGUGGGAGCCCCACCACUAAGCCAGUGGUGAACUCCACAUACGCAUCCUUUGCGGAAGAUGCGGUUAACGGAGCGAAAGCGACGUUCAACCUCAGAAGAAGCAGAGGGGGCUUAGUGGUGGGGUGACUGCGUACCUUUUGUAUAAUGGGUCAGCGACUUAUAUUCUGUAGCAAGGUUAACCGCAUAGGGGAGCCGAAGGGAAACCGAGUCUUAAUUGGGCGUUAAGUUGCAGGGUAUAGACCCGAAACCCGGUGAUCUAGCCAUGGGCAGGUUGAAGGUUGGGUAACACUAACUGGAGGACCGAACCGACUAAUGUUGAAAAAUUAGCGGAUGACCUGUGGCUGGGGGUGAAAGGCCAAUCAAACCGGGAGAUAGCUGGUUCUCCCCGAAAGCUAUUUAGGUAGCGCCUCGUGAACUCAUCUCCGGGGGUAGAGCACUGUUUCGGCUAGGGGGCCAUCCCGGCUUACCAACCCGAUGCAAACUGCGAAUACCGGAGAAUGUUAUCACGGGAGACACACGGCGGGUGCUAACGUCCGUCGUGAAGAGGGAAACAACCCAGACCGCCAGCUAAGGUCCCAAAGUCAUGGUUAAGUGGGAAACGAUGUGGGAAGGCCCAGACAGCCAGGAUGUUGGCUUAGAAGCAGCCAUCAUUUAAAGAAAGCGUAAUAGCUCACUGGUCGAGUCGGCCUGCGCGGAAGAUGUAACGGGGCUAAACCAUGCACCGAAGCUGCGGCAGCGACACUUUAGUGUUGUUGGGUAGGGGAGCGUUCUGUAAGCCGUUGAAGGUGUCCUGUGAGGGGUGCUGGAGGUAUCAGAAGUGCGAAUGCUGACAUAAGUAACGAUAAAGCGGGUGAAAAGCCCGCUCGCCGGAAGACC